GAGAAUUGUGCGUGAUGUGGACCUGUGGGACAACAUCAUUCCCAGAGUUGAGAGUUUCUUCAGACUAUGUGUUCUCCCUGAAGUGUUGGGACAGCAACUUACAAGGGGAAAGUUUCAGUUGCAAGAUGAUCAGGAGGGAGAGAAGGCGUGAUUACCAGCACCUGUGGUCUGUCCUGGUCCCGGAAGUUGUGGUUCUCUCCUUGUUGCAUUAUUAUUUGCACAGUGGCAGCUCUUUAACCUGCAUUACAGCACCUUCAUAUUCACUGACCACACUCACUAGAGGAAGUAGGGCUGUGUGAUAUAUUGCUAUUGUAAAAAAUAUGUUUACUGAAAAGAUUAAAUGAUACUAAGAAGACUGAAUAAUA
This is a long non-coding RNA of Gymnodraco acuticeps, 365 nucleotides long. RefSeq lists it as uncharacterized. The record is from RefSeq and is a predicted model, not a curated record. The transcript is spliced from 2 exons. Lineage: Eukaryota; Metazoa; Chordata; Actinopteri; Perciformes; Bathydraconidae.